AGGGCACCACCAGGAGUGGAGCCUGCGGCUUAAUUUGACUCAACACGGGGAAACUCACCCGGCCCGGACACUGGAAGGAUUGACAGAUUGAGAGCUCUUUCUUGAUUCAGUGGGUGGUGGUGCAUGGCCGUUCUUAGUUGGUGGAGUGAUUUGUCUGGUUAAUUCCGAUAACGAACGAGACUCUAGCCUACUAAAUAGACCUCGGCAUUCUUUGUACUGUCGAGGCGCUUCUUAGAGGGACAGGCGGCGUUUCAGCCGCAUGAGAAAGAGCAAUAACAGGUCUAUGAUGCCCUUAGAUGUCCGGGGCCACACGCGCGCUACACUGAAGAGAUCAGCGUGCAUGUGCUUCCUACUCCGAAAGGAGCGGGAAACCGAGUGAACCUUUUUCGUGCUUGGGAUUGGGGAUUGUAAUUAUUCUCCAUGAACGAGGAAUUCCCAGUAAGCACAAGUCAUCAGCUUGUGUUGAUUACGUCCCUGCCCUUUGUACACACCGCCCGUCGCUACUACCGAUUGGAUGUU
This 519-nucleotide ribosomal RNA is filed under the name uncultured eukaryote. RNAcentral describes it as "SSU rRNA". It matches the Rfam family "Eukaryotic small subunit ribosomal RNA", at positions 1161 to 1697 of the family's 1831-position model. The record is from RNAcentral.